This 63-nucleotide transfer RNA is filed under the name Oides maculatus. Its description in RNAcentral is "tRNA-Phe". The record is from RNAcentral. Lineage: Eukaryota; Metazoa; Arthropoda; Insecta; Coleoptera; Chrysomelidae.
AUUUAAAUAGCUUAUAAAGAGUAUAAUUUUGAAGAAAUUAUGGAAGUUUAAUACUUUUAAAUA